AGUUUGUAUCUUUUGACAGAUACGCGUAUUUCGACCUCAACUGUAAGGCCGUCUUCAGUGUCGACACUGGAGACGGCCUUACAGUUGAGGUCGAAAUACGCGUAUCUGUCAAAAGAUACCAACUA
Molecule: microRNA precursor, 125 nt
Filed under: Aedes aegypti (yellow fever mosquito)
Lineage: Eukaryota; Metazoa; Arthropoda; Insecta; Diptera; Culicidae
Description: pre miRNA AAEL028673
Source: RNAcentral